RNAcentral lists this small RNA (517 nucleotides) under Pongo abelii (Sumatran orangutan). Its description in RNAcentral is "processed transcript". Lineage: Eukaryota; Metazoa; Chordata; Mammalia; Primates; Hominidae. The record is from RNAcentral.
AGAUGGAUUUGCAGCCGCUGCAAGUGUGUGGAAGGGCCGUGUUCGUGUUGGCAAAGAAGGUCGGCUGCUGAGCCAGGGCGUGUCUCCCGGAGGCCUGUGGGCUGCCAGGAUCCCCACCUCUCUGCAAUGGGCUGCCCAGGCUGGUCAGUUACCAGCCAGUGACAUCAUCAAGGUUCCCUGCUGUCUACCCUGGGAAGGGCCCAGCCUAAGUUACCAAGCCCCAGGCUCCCAGUACCACCCUCAGCCUAUGUGGAUUGCCACCCCACCUUCUGCCUGUCCUUGGGAGGGGACCGACUCUCAGCUCCCCUUAGCAAUCAGGUUGCACCCAGUCCCUUGACUUUAUGCCCAGGUUUCCUGGCACCUAAAGUAGAAACGAUGCAACUGCCCCUUGGGCUCGCUGAGGGCCAGAAGGGGUGUGACUUUGUCACGGAGCGUAGAAGUCACUGAGUCGAUGGUGAUCCCGCUGGCUGUUAACAUCGAUACAGUUCAGACCAGCCGGUUCCUGCUGGAAGCUCCU